RNAcentral lists this ribosomal RNA (253 nucleotides) under uncultured bacterium. RNAcentral describes it as "partial 16S ribosomal RNA". It matches the Rfam family "Bacterial small subunit ribosomal RNA", at positions 524 to 776 of the family's 1533-position model. The record is from RNAcentral.
UACGGGGGGGGCAAGCGUUGUUCGGAAUUACUGGGCGUAAAGGGCUCGUAGGCGGCCAACUAAGUCAGACGUGAAAUCCCUCGGCUUAACCGGGGAACUGCGUCUGAUACUGGUUGGCUUGAGUCCGGGAGAGGGAUGUGGAAUUCCAGGUGUAGCGGUGAAAUGCGUAGAGAUGUGGAGGAACACCGAUGGCGAAGGCAGCCCCCUGGGCUGAGAUUGACGCUCAGGCACGAAAGCGUGGGGAGCAAACAGG